CUGAGGGAAACUGUGAAUCUUGACUGUGAAGCCAUGGAAGGCUGUUUCUUGUUCUGUGAAUUCAACAUUAACUGGGCAUUGACUAUAUGACAGGCGUUGGGCAAUCACUGAGGACAAAGGGCAGCUUUCUGUCCUGUCUGCUCUGGGCAAAGGGCAGAGUCCAGUCAAGGGGACUACGGUUAUGCUAACCAGGGUGCUCUGGGAUACCAAGGAGGAAGGCUUGGAUUCUGCAUGGUGGCGGUGAAGUCUUUCCAGCUUGAAAGGACUUUCCUACAUCUGAUGGAUCCAUCAUCUCACUGCGAGAUGCUCUGAAGGACCUGAAUGAGUUUGUGCUUCAGGAAAUUCCCUCCAGCUGCAAAGCAGAGGGCAGGAAUAGCCAGAGUAGUCACAGAGAAAUGCCUUUGGAGGAUCUUGUGAUAAUCCAGGAAAAUGUCAGAGUGCUCAGGACCAAAAGAAAGGCCAAAAAACACAGGCGAUUCCAGGAGCCCUCGAUGGAAACUUCACUGUCAUGGACGGGAUGAGCAUGAGGCCAUAUAUAUAUUUACUACAGAGGGACCUGUUUGGAUUAGAAGGUGGUUUGACUUCUGGGCAUAACAGGGAAAGGGGCAAGAUUGGAGAUUUAUCCAACUAGAUUUUAUGGUGCAACCUCCUAAUGGGAGGUUUUCUUGUGUGGGUUUUCCCACUGGCAUUUACUUGGUCAUUUUGGAUCUGAGGUCCUUGGGGCCUGUUAGGUUAUGGUGUUGCUGGUUGGGAUUUUGGGGUUCC
Molecule: long non-coding RNA, 765 nt
Organism: Choloepus didactylus (southern two-toed sloth)
Lineage: Eukaryota; Metazoa; Chordata; Mammalia; Pilosa; Megalonychidae
Exons: 3
Source: RefSeq, a predicted model, not a curated record